AAUUUGAAGCUAGAAAAACAGAAUUUAAAAGAAAAAUAAAAACAAGUGAAUAGUCUCCGUUAGGUUGAAUCCUGGAUACAAUUUCUUAUUAAACAAAACCCAUUAGUUUGAUUUAAUUUUUAAGGACUUCUAAUAGCAAGUUGUACCUUCACCUGAAUUUAAAUGGAAAGGGGGGAUCGGAGCUCUUCUCGGCAUUCAAGUUUCCCUCUCUCUCAACUUUAAACCUUUUCUAAAUCUAUGUGUAAACACAUGCAUGGUGUGAAUGAGGAAUUAAAUCAAAAUAGCAAAGGAAGGAGAAGUGAAAAGCUCAAUGGCAACCUGGCACCUCGGUUCUCCACUAAAGUCGAUCGUUUUUCUCUCUUCUCCGUCAUGCUUCUACUCGAUAGGGGGUAGAGGGCCACUCUAUUCAUACUCGCCCCUAAAUUUCAUAGCCGUCCAAUCUUUGCGUGCG
This 451-nucleotide long non-coding RNA is filed under the name Carica papaya (papaya). RNAcentral describes it as "long non-coding RNA (CPAP_LNC016280)". The record is from RNAcentral. Lineage: Eukaryota; Viridiplantae; Streptophyta; Magnoliopsida; Brassicales; Caricaceae.